AAAUCCUUGUUGUAUGAUAGAUCUCUGUAUGAAGAUGCCAAUAAUCAGAAAUGAUAAUAAGAAUCCUUGCUCUCGAAAACAAUCUAUAUUCUAUCAUUUUCUUGGUGAAAACAAUCCCCUCUGUUCAGGAUAGUGUACAAGAAGCAAUCUUAAUCUUAAAGCUACAAAGAGCCCUAUGGAUGAUGCAUCUGCUUAAUAAGUGCCUCACGCAUUGAGCAUGAUCCUAGAGAAAUGUAGGCUUGCAUGCUACAAUCUAAAUAGAAUAAUAAUAAUACUACUACUAAUAAUAAUAAUAGCUGACGAUGGCCCAAACAUAUUUAAUUAUGAGACAGAUCCUAAGCAUCAAAGAGGAGAUAAAUUGCAGGCCAAGGAUCUACAUAGUUUGAAGUUCUUGUAAGUCUGAGAUAUAUCCAGACAGCUGUCCUUUCAAUCCCAUGCUUGACAAUGUUAUGGAAGUCACACGUGAAUUGAUGCACUUUA
This 480-nucleotide unclassified non-coding RNA is filed under the name Hevea brasiliensis (rubber tree). Lineage: Eukaryota; Viridiplantae; Streptophyta; Magnoliopsida; Malpighiales; Euphorbiaceae. The record is from RNAcentral.